This 119-nucleotide ribosomal RNA is filed under the name Peromyscus maniculatus bairdii (prairie deer mouse). The record is from RNAcentral. Lineage: Eukaryota; Metazoa; Chordata; Mammalia; Rodentia; Cricetidae.
AUCUCUGCCCAAACCAUCCUAAACACACCCAGUCUCACCUGACCCUGGAGGCUAAGCAGGGCUGGGCCUACUUAAUGCUUGAAUGGGUGACCCCUUGGGAAAGCCAGGUGGUGUAGGCC